This 253-nucleotide ribosomal RNA is filed under the name uncultured bacterium. RNAcentral describes it as "partial 16S ribosomal RNA". It matches the Rfam family "Bacterial small subunit ribosomal RNA", at positions 524 to 776 of the family's 1533-position model. The record is from RNAcentral.
UACGGGGGGGGCAAGCGUUGUUCGGAAUUACUGGGCGUAAAGGGCUCGUAGGCGGCCUGCUAAGUCGGACGUGAAAUCCCUCGGCUCAACCGAGGAACUGCGUCCGAUACUGGUGGGCUUGAAUCCGGGAGAGGGAUGUGGAAUUCCAGGUGUAGCGGUGAAAUGCGUAGAUAUCUGGAGGAACACCGGUGGCGAAGGCGGCAUCCUGGACCGGUAUUGACGCUGAGGCGCGAAAGCUAGGGGAGCAAACAGG